This is a ribosomal RNA of 520 nucleotides. It matches the Rfam family "Bacterial large subunit ribosomal RNA", at positions 1856 to 2579 of the family's 2925-position model.
AGCCUGCCCAGUGACUCUGUUCAACGGCCGCGGUAUCCUAACCGUGCGAAGGUAGCGUAAUCACUUGUUCUUUAAAUGUGGACUAGUAUGAAUGGCAUCACGAAGGUUAUACUGUCUCCUUUUUCUAAUCAGUGAAACUAAUCUCCCCGUGAAGAAGCGAGGAUAAAACUAUAAGACGAGAAGACCCUAUGGAGCUUUAAACAUUUAUAACACUUGCUAAAUAAAAUACAAAUUUCAGAAUUAUUUACUCUUUAAGCAACUUGUCUAUAAGUUUUUGGUUGGGGUGACCGCGGAGCAUAAUACAACCUCCAUGUUGAAAGAUCUAUUUCUAAGCUAAGAGCUACACCUCUAAGCAUCAACAUAUUGACAUCCAUUGACCCAAUAUAUUUGAACAACGAACCAAGUUACCCUAGGGAUAACAGCGCAAUCCACUUCAAGAGCUCCUAUCGACAAGUGGGUUUACGACCUCGAUGUUGGAUCAGGGUUUCCCAGUGGUGCAGCCCUACUAAAGGUUCGUUUG